CUGUAUGAUCUGACUGGGUCCUGAGGAGCUCUGCUCCAUGGUCAAGGUUGGUUUUCACUCCAGAACUAGUCCGGGUCUCGAUUUGCCUCUGGUUCCACUUUAUGGUUCAAGGCCGACUGCUUGCGAAGGACAAGGUCACUAUUUAGACACUCACACUGGGAUCAUUGAACUCUAUGAGUCUGAGGCACUAACUCAAUGAAAUAAUUUAACACACCAAGAUGAUUGAAGGACAGGUUUUGAAAUGUAAACCGUGUCUUCUGCUGCCUUCAUCUUGACACCUGCCAAUCCAAAGGACACCCAAGGUGGACCGGACGGAGCUGCUGGUGGAAAUAUCCACUUAAUGCCUUUGAAACUCUUGUCUCAUUCUUCUGCAGACACCUGGAAAAAUGCAAAGAGCACGUCUUGCAGAGUCUAAAUUGCAGAAUUAUUAAUCAGCGCUUGCUCCCUGGCAUGCUGUUAGGCUUCUCUGGCGGUUGAGGUCUCAGAACGGCAGCCAUGAAGAAUGGUGGCGCUGGGGAGGGCAUGUGACUCUUGUCUGGUUGAGUUUAUCACAGCCUUCUGUUUAUUCUUCAUUACCUCAGAGCCAAGGCAAAAUUGCUUUGAAGGGUGAGGCCAGUUGCUCCGUCUUCCGCUGCUCCCUUAAUUGAGAAUCCCAUUAAUCAGAAGAGGGGAUCAGGCCUGGCUACUCGCUCCCUGGGUACAGAGAGGGUUUGGGUCCACCGAGUUUGGUAUGCUAAUGACAACUGCCUCUCGUCAUAUGCUAGUCAAGAGUGACUCCCUAAUCUGUAAACUGUGUGACAACCUGAGCAUAUGGUGACAGCUGAGGAGACAGAAUGCUGUGUCCCACAGACAGGGGCUGGGGACUCGGGCUGGAGUUUCAUUGGAGCAGAGGGCAGGAGCCUGAGAGAGCUGAACAAGGCAGGCUCUCACAUUCUGGUCACAAAUAACGAGGUACACAUGUCCCCACAG
This is a long non-coding RNA of Arvicola amphibius (Eurasian water vole), 969 nucleotides long. RefSeq lists it as uncharacterized. The transcript has 3 exons. The record is from RefSeq and is a predicted model, not a curated record. Lineage: Eukaryota; Metazoa; Chordata; Mammalia; Rodentia; Cricetidae.